RNAcentral lists this ribosomal RNA (508 nucleotides) under uncultured bacterium. RNAcentral describes it as "partial 16S ribosomal RNA". It matches the Rfam family "Bacterial small subunit ribosomal RNA", at positions 30 to 523 of the family's 1533-position model. The record is from RNAcentral.
AUUGAACGCUGGCGGCAGGCCUAACACAUGCAAGUCGAGCGGCAGCGGGAAAGUAGCUUGCUACUUUUGCCGGCGAGCGGCGGACGGGUGAGUAAUGCCUGGGAAAUUGCCCAGUCGAGGGGGAUAACAGUUGGAAACGACUGCUAAUACCGCAUACGCCCUACGGGGGAAAGCAGGGGACCUUCGGGCCUUGCGCGAUUGGAUAUGCCCAGGUGGGAUUAGCUAGUUGGUGAGGUAAUGGCUCACCAAGGCGACGAUCCCUAGCUGGUCUGAGAGGAUGAUCAGCCACACUGGAACUGAGACACGGUCCAGACUCCUACGGGAGGCAGCAGUGGGGAAUAUUGCACAAUGGGGGAAACCCUGAGGCAGCCAUGCCGCGUGUGUGAAGAAGGCCUUCGGGUAGUAAAGCACUUUCAGCGAGGAGGAAAGGUUGAUGCCUAAUACGUAUCAACUGUGACGUUACUCGCAGAAGAAGCACCGGCUAACUCCGUGCCAGCAGCCGCAGUAA